AUCGGUAUCAUCUAUCUUAGGUUCGAUUUGGAACUAUGGAAUGACUCUUUUUUAUGGUUUGGUUGUUCUUAAUCUGAUAAUACUCAUUAUAUACUGUACACAUUUUUGUAUAUAAUAUUAGUUUUGUUUAUGUAUAUUAGCUUCAUAUUAGUUAUGUUUAUGUAUAUUUGUUUAUGACCUUAAUAGUAAGUCACUCGAUUCAAUCUCAUAAACCCUAAAUCAUAUUAUUGAUGAUCAGUUCCCCCAAAACUCCAUUGUUGGCUAACCCUACCUCUUCUUCAUCAUCAUCUUUGUAGAAUUGAUCUCUAGAUAAGACUAAUGAAUUGUGGUUGUUUAGUUUGAUUCAACUCAAAUUAUCCAUUUCUGUAACCCACCUUACAAAAUUUGUACUAAGUGGAUCUUAAUUUGAAGAGGAUUACUGCAUUUUUAACAGGGAAUUAUCGGCAUGAGGUAGCUUCUUCUAUCUUUUUUAUCGUUAAUUACUCUAGUUAGUGUAGAUUUUGUUAAUUUGAUUUAGGUUUUUCUUUGCAAUGGUAAUCUUAAUUCAUUCACAUGUGAAAAUAACCUGUUAAAUCUUUCUGAUUCUGCUCAUGUUAGAUCGAUAGUUGAAUUUAGGUGAUUGAGGUACUGUUAUUAAUUUCAAAUGUGUGAAAGUUGUUUAGUGGAUGAAGUGUGAAACCUUAAAAGGUACUUUAUCAUCAUCAUCAUCAUCAUCAUCAUCAUCUAUAAUUGGUAUAUUAUGUACAUUUACAAAUUGUAGGUGGUGUGAUUAUUUUUUCCUUUGAUUGGAUCUGGUACUAACAUCUUGGUUCUCAGAUAAAUUCUCCAAUUCAGCUUCAACAGAGGAGCCAGAGUUUUGUCAAAGAAAGUGCUAGCAAGUCUUUGUACUUUUUGUAUGGUAAAAAACAAACGAAGGCAACAUGUUUGAGUUAUAGAUUUUUUUUCACUGAAAACUUGUUUAUUCUUAUUUCCAGCUUGGUCCAAGGGACUCUCUAAUACGGUGCUUUAUAAAGCAUAACCUAAGAUCGUUGUGGAUCCUAUUCUAUAUGUGGCAGAUCAUUGUGGUAUUUAGGUCAGCAAUUCCUGUUGUGCUCCUUACUGCCUGAAACACGACAUUUAGCCUGAUGGCGAACUGCCAAGUGACAAGACUGUUGAGGGCUUUCAACACAUUUUUUAGUGAAACAUGUGUUGGAAAACACGUUUCACAUGCCAUUUUCGUUGACCUUGAGCCCACUGUCACCGAUGAAGUGAGAACUGGUUCAUACCGCCAACUGUUUUUCUCGGAGCAGCUCAUGUGCGGGAAGGAAGAUGCUGAAAACAACUUUGCACGAGGCCACUAUACCAAUUUUGAACAACGCAAGAGAGAUCACACAAGCAGAAAUCAACGAAGAUGGUUGAAAACGUCAUGCAUCGGUUUUUUAGUUCGGUAUUUAGUGAUGAUAGGUAGCCAUAGAUUUAAUUUAGUUUUUUUUUUAACAAGAUGU
This is a long non-coding RNA of Helianthus annuus (common sunflower), 1484 nucleotides long. RefSeq lists it as uncharacterized. NCBI's taxonomy places the organism in Eukaryota, Viridiplantae, Streptophyta, Magnoliopsida, Asterales, Asteraceae. The transcript has 3 exons. The record is from RefSeq and is a predicted model, not a curated record.